This 1514-nucleotide long non-coding RNA is filed under the name Sus scrofa (pig). RNAcentral describes it as "lncRNA (ENSSSCG00030008329.1)". The record is from RNAcentral. Lineage: Eukaryota; Metazoa; Chordata; Mammalia; Artiodactyla; Suidae.
GGGGCAAAAACCGCCCAGCCUCGCGGGACUAGGCCUGGGCAGCCUUCUGGCGGCGCACGGCGCAUCGGGGUUUACAGCAGUAUAACUUGCUUCCCAGUAGCGCAUCACAGGAGAGACCCUUCCUUUAGGAAACCAAGCCUCGCCAAGGGUCGUCAUCUCUAUGGCCUCCUCCCUUCCCGGUGACUUGGUCGGAGCUGACAGAGACGGGAGGGGGGUUGCAAAGCGGGCGUGCGAAAGGGCCGCGACUGCCCCCAGCGGUGUGGGGUGGAACUACACUUAGGGCCCCAGACUGUGAGCCUGAGGAUCCGUGUGCGCAGUCGUCUCAGAGUUUUCAGAGUACAAGUCUCUUCCUCCUUAGGUUUCUCACAUUGAUGCUUUCAACAUGGGAAGAAAAGUUACUGAAAGAUGGAAAAGGUGAGGACCCUAACAGCUGCGUCCUCAUCUUAGAAAGACAUCAACAGCAAGUCCCCUUGAAGCCAAGGAUAUGCCAAGAUGAGGAAUGGCUAAACACAGGAGACUUCUAUCAAGGGUCAGGAGAAGGGCCCUGCACAUGGAGCACUCGGGAGCAUUGUCACCAGGAUGACCCAAGAAUCUUCAGUUUUCAGAAGUCAAAGAAUGGACAUGUUGCCACCAGAGCCCUUUACCAAGUGAGAAGUCCUUCAAUGAAGAGAACCUGGCUUCCAGCAGCUGGAGCAGCUUAUAUUGAGUGAUUCAAGACUAGCCAGUCAGCUUUCGAGGUUAAAAUUCCCCUAACUCCUUAAAUUUCACCCAGAACCCUGGCUGCAGGAGACAGGUUUGCAAGUCUUGCUGCCUGUCUUUUUGUCAGUCGACCUCACAAUCUACUCUUUCUUUUCUCAAAAGCUAAUGCUCUGUUUCUCAUCUUCUUUGCCUUUUGAGUAGCCUAGUUUCUUACUCAGUAAUAAUUAUUGCAAAACAGGGAAGGGAAAGGAGAGGGAAAAAGAAGGAGGGGGAAGGGAGGGGGCCUGGGGCCUGAAAUUUUCCAAGCUGUCUCUCUGUGGCUCUGUUGUGUGAGAGAAACCUUAGUCUAAAGAACACUCAUUGCCACCUCCCAAAGGAAAAGGGGGUCAGAAUGCUGUCUGCUCUAAACCUAACUGAAGUUCAUGGUGGGGUGGGGGUGUGGGAUGGUCUAUCCAGGGGCAAAGGAAGCCUGGCAUGCUGGGCUAUCUUGGAUAAGUUCUCUAGACUGUGGCCUUUUCAGGGCCAGGCAGCUUCAGGGUGGUCCUCAGAGCUGGACCUGGCUGGAUGUCUAUCCGUCCAGGCAGACCAGCUACAGGUUCAGUGAAAGUGGUCUUGAGCUAUUUUCUAGUCAGGGAAAUGUGAGCUCCUGAGGUAAUUACUGAACCAUGAGCAAGAGCCUUAGACAUUUAGGGGAACAGGUGGUUCCAAGUAACUACAGGGACCUUGUUAACAGACUCUAAGCAACUAUGCUGCUGUCUAGAGAAGGAAGUUAUACUGGUCUCAAACUGUUGAAAAGCCCAAGAGCCAAAGUGGGU